Molecule: long non-coding RNA, 977 nt
Organism: Fukomys damarensis (Damara mole-rat)
Lineage: Eukaryota; Metazoa; Chordata; Mammalia; Rodentia; Bathyergidae
Exons: 3
Source: RefSeq, a predicted model, not a curated record
CAUGGCUCCUCUUAGGGCUGGCGGAGCAGCUCCGCCGGAUUAGUGCUUAGUCAUGUCAAUCGGCACUGCUCAGAGGGACGUGCAGCUGGCGGCAAGCCCUGGGACGGUGGCCUCCAGCCAGGGACAUGGUUUGGCCCCAGAACAUCACUGAGCGAUUUGUGACUCCUUCGAACUGCUGAGAGGCAGGUGCAUCGAGAGCAUGGGAAGGUGAGGGGGACAGUGCCAGGUGGCUGGAACAAGACACACAACACGAGGAGGUGACACAGAGAGCACGGCCCAGGGAGAAGAGGUGACUCAUCAGGACACACUGUGGGUUACAAAACAGAGCAGGCUGCUGCCAGCCGCGUGCUCACAAUUACCUUUUUCGCUUCCUUCCCUGCCCUUCCACUCCCUGUUCCCUGCCUGCUGAGAACAUUCUGUUCUUGUUGAACCUCUCAAUGAACAGGGAAACUUCUUCUUCUCUGGCAGACUGAGGGCUUCGGCUGCCUGGGAUCAUCAGUUCCGGGCUGGGACCGCACACAGGACCCAAGUGGGCCGGACUAAAGGGCACACCUGAGCCACCUCGCAGCCGGGGCUCUCGGUCAAGCUCAACCCUGGGCUUAGUCCCAGGCCUCCAUAAGCGGCGCUGCCAGCUCUGCAGAUUGGUGUCCCUGAGCCCUCGGGCACAGCCUGGCCCUCCACCUCACUGGCUACCCCAGCCCAGCUGCCCGGCGCCGACACCAUGAGUUGCUCGCUAGGCAGUGGCAACUGCCCAUGGGGUGGGAUCUCAGUGCCCUUGUUGGGAGGAAAAACGGAAACGCUGUGAGGUGAAAGGGCUUGUGGCUACCGCUUACUCUGAAACUCCCUUGAAUCAAUUUAUUAAGGGUUGGGGAAGGAGGGAGAGGGAGAAAGCCAAUGCGGUAAAAUAUUAACAUUUUAAGGAGGCUGAGUGACUCAUACUGGAAAUUUUUCGUGCUACCUUUAAAACUUUUCUGUAA